AUGCCUACGGGGCGCAGCAGUGGGGAAUAUUGCGCAAUGGGCGAAAGCCUGACGCAGCGACGCCGCGUGAGGGAUGAAGGUCUUCGGAUCGUAAACCUCUGUCAGCAGGGAAGAACGGUCACUGUGCUAAUCAGCAGUGAAUUGACGGUACCUGCAAAGGAAGCACCGGCUAACUCCGUGCCAGCAGCCGCGGUAAUACGUAGGGAGCAAGCGUUAUCCGGAUUUAUUGGGUGUAAAGGGUGCGUAGACGGGAAGGCAAGUUAGUUGUGAAAUCCCUCGGCUUAACUGAGGAACUGCAACUAAAA
This 305-nucleotide ribosomal RNA is filed under the name uncultured bacterium. RNAcentral describes it as "bacterial SSU rRNA". It matches the Rfam family "Bacterial small subunit ribosomal RNA", at positions 335 to 632 of the family's 1533-position model. The record is from RNAcentral.